This 69-nucleotide transfer RNA is filed under the name Loxodonta africana (African savanna elephant). It matches the Rfam family "tRNA". Rfam says of the family: Transfer RNA (tRNA) molecules are approximately 80 nucleotides in length. Their secondary structure includes four short double-helical elements and three loops (D, anti-codon, and T loops). Further hydrogen bonds mediate the characteristic L-shaped molecular structure. tRNAs have two regions of fundamental functional importance: the anti-codon, which is responsible for specific mRNA codon recognition, and the 3' end, to which the tRNAs corresponding amino acid is attached (by aminoacyl-tRNA synthetases). tRNAs cope with the degeneracy of the genetic code in two manners: having more than one tRNA (with a specific anti-codon) for a particular amino acid; and 'wobble' base-pairing, i.e. permitting non-standard base-pairing at the 3rd anti-codon position. The record is from Rfam by way of RNAcentral. Lineage: Eukaryota; Metazoa; Chordata; Mammalia; Proboscidea; Elephantidae.
GCUAUGGUAGCUUAGUGGUUAAGAGUUUGACUGCUAAUCAAAAGGUUGGCAGUUUGAAUCCACCAGGCA